AUGGCUCAGGAUGAACGCUGGCGGCGUGCCUAAUACAUGCAAGUCGAACGAGCGAGAUCCAGCUUGCUGGAUUAGCGAGUGGCGAACGGGUGAGUAAUACGUAAGCAACCUGCCUACACGGACUGGGAUAACACCUGGAAACGGGCGCUAAUACCGGAUAGGUAACGAGAGGGCAUCCUCUUGUUAUUAAAGGUUUGAAACACAAGUAGAUGGGCUUACGGUGCAUUAGCUAGUUGGUGAGGUAACGGCCCACCAAGGCGAUGAUGCAUAGCCGGCCUGAGAGGGUGAACGGCCACAUUGGGACUGAGACACGGCCCAGACUCCUACGGGAGGCAGCAGUAGGGAAUUUUCGGCAAUGGGCGCAAGCCUGACCGAGCAACGCCGCGUGAGUGAAUGAAGGUUUUCGGAUCGUAAAGCUCUGUUGUAAGGGAAGAAUGGCGCGGAUAGACUCCGCGAUUGACGGUACCUUACCAGAAAGCCACGGCUAACUACGUGCCAGCAGCAGC
RNAcentral lists this ribosomal RNA (506 nucleotides) under uncultured bacterium. Its description in RNAcentral is "bacterial SSU rRNA". It matches the Rfam family "Bacterial small subunit ribosomal RNA", at positions 19 to 518 of the family's 1533-position model. The record is from RNAcentral.